GACGAACCGUGCAAACGUUAUUCGGAAUCACUGGGCUUAAAGCGCGUGUAGGCGGAACGGCACGUCGGUCGCUGAAAUCCCCCGGCUCAACCGGGGAACGGGCGCCGAUACGACCGUUCUCGAGGGACGUAGGGGGACCUGGAACUUCCGGUGGAGCGGUGAAACGCGUUGAGAUCGGAAGGAACGCCCGUGGCGAAGGCGAGGUCCUGGACGUUUUCUGACGCUGAGACGCGAAAGCCAGGGGAGCGAACGGG
Molecule: ribosomal RNA, 254 nt
Filed under: uncultured bacterium
Lineage: Bacteria
Description: partial 16S ribosomal RNA
Rfam family: Bacterial small subunit ribosomal RNA
Source: RNAcentral